GGAAGAGAAAGAAAAAUCGAUUUCCUGAGUAGCGGCGAGCGAAACGGAAAGAGCCCAAACCAAGAAGCUUGCUUCUUGGGGUUGUAGGACACUCUAUACGGAGUUACAAAAGAAAGUUAUAAAUGAAGCGGUCUGGAAAGGCCCGCCAAAGACGGUAACAGCCCGGUAGUUGAAAUGGCUUUCCCUCCAGAGUGGAUCCUGAGUACGGCGGAACACGUGAAAUUCCGUCGGAAUCCGGGAGGACCAUCUCCCAAGGCUAAAUACUCCCUAGUGACCGAUAGUGAACCAGUACCGUGAGGGAAAGGUGAAAAGCACCCCGGAAGGGGAGUGAAACAGUUCCUGAAACCGUGUGCCUACAAGUAGUUAGAGCCCGUUAAUGGGUGAUAGCGUGCCUUUUGUAGAAUGAACCGGCGAGUUACGAUUUGUUGCAAGGUUAAGCGGAAAAAGCGGAGCCGUAGCGAAAGCGAGUCUGAAUAGGGCGCAUAAGUAACAGGUCGUAGACCCGAAACCAGGUGAUCUACCCAUGUCCAGGAUGAAGGUAAGGUAAUACUUACUGGAGGUCCGAACCCACGCACGUUGAAAAGUGCGGGGAUGAGGUGUGGGUAGCGGAGAAAUUCCAAUCGAACUUGGAGAUAGCUGGUUCUCUCCGAAAUAGCUUUAGGGCUAGCCUCGAGGUAAAGAGUCAUGGAGGUAGAGCACUGUUUGGACUAGGGGCCCUUCUCGGGUUACCGAAUUCAGAUAAACUCCGAAUGCCAUGUACUUAUACUCGGGAGUCAGACUGCGAGUGAUAAGAUCCGUAGUCGAAAGGGAAACAGCCCAGACCACCAGUUAAGGUCCCCAAAUAUAUGUUAAGUGGAAAAGGAUGUGGGGUUGCUUAGACAACCAGGAUGUUGGCUUAGAAGCAGCCACCAUUGAAAGAGUGCGUAAUAGCUCACUGGUCGAGUGACCCCGCGCCGAAAAUGUACCGGGGCUAAACAUAUUACCGAAACUGUGGAUGAACCUCUUC
RNAcentral lists this ribosomal RNA (1006 nucleotides) under Listeria monocytogenes. Its description in RNAcentral is "partial 23S ribosomal RNA". It matches the Rfam family "Bacterial large subunit ribosomal RNA", at positions 215 to 1217 of the family's 2925-position model. The record is from RNAcentral. Lineage: Bacteria; Bacillati; Bacillota; Bacilli; Caryophanales; Listeriaceae.